GACAGAGGGUGCAAUCGUUGCUCGGAAUCACUGGGCGUAAAGCGCGUGUAGGCGGCCACUCAAGUCAGGUGUGAAAUCCCCGGGCUCAACCUGGGAACUGCAUCUGAAACUGGUUGUCUUGAGUGUCGGAGAGGGAAGCGGAAUUCCUGGUGUAGAGGUGAAAUUCGUAGAUAUCAGGAGGAACACCGGUGGCGAAGGCGGCUUCCUGGACGACAACUGACGCUGAGACGCGAAAGUGUGGGUAGCAAACAGG
Molecule: ribosomal RNA, 253 nt
Filed under: uncultured bacterium
Lineage: Bacteria
Description: partial 16S ribosomal RNA
Rfam family: Bacterial small subunit ribosomal RNA
Source: RNAcentral